GUGAACGCUGGCGGUAGGCCUAACACCUGCCAGUCGCACGGCAGCACAGUAAGAGCUUGCUCUUACGGGUGGCGAGUGGCGGACGGGUGAGGAAUACAUCGGAAUCUACUUUUUCGUGGGGGAUAACGUAGGGAAACUUACGCUAAUACCGCAUACGACCUACAGGUGAAAGCAGGGGAUCUUCGGACCUUGCGCGAUUGAAUGAGCCGAUGUCGGAUUAGCUAGUUGGCGGGGUAAAGGCCCACCAAGGCGACGAUCCGUAGCUGGUCUGAGAGGAUGAUCAGCCACACUGGAACUGAGACACGGUCCAGACUCCUACGGGAGGCAGCAGUGGGGAAUAUUGGACAAUGGGCGCAAGCCUGAUCCAGCCAUACCGCGUGGGUGAAGAAGGCCUUCGGGUUGUAAAGCCCUUUUGUUGGGAAAGAAAAGCAGCAGGUUAAUACCCCGCUGUUCUGACGGUACCCAAAGAAUAAGCACCGGCUAACUUCGUG
RNAcentral lists this ribosomal RNA (491 nucleotides) under uncultured bacterium. RNAcentral describes it as "partial 16S ribosomal RNA". It matches the Rfam family "Bacterial small subunit ribosomal RNA", at positions 29 to 507 of the family's 1533-position model. The record is from RNAcentral.